AGUGCAGUUUGGAACCACAGCGGGAAACCCAUUUCCGGAUGAUAGCAGAACAGCAAUGAGCAGCACUAUUGGGCCUGACUGUGAAAACACCCGAAAAUACCGAGCUGUUCCAGGUUUUAUUCUGUGAUCCUCAAAGUUAUUCCAGUCCUCAGAAUACUACUUGAAGCAAUUAUUUGUAUCUCCUGCUCAGGUGAAGAGAUGCAUAGCCAGUGAAGAGACACAGUGCUACUGAACAGAAAACUAAGUGAAAAGAGCAUGCAUGUCAAGAUGCUGGGAGAGUCCCUGGUUUCUGCAAAUGAACCUUGCAUUUCAGAGUUCAAAGGACAAUAAGAAAGGCACAGUCACUCACUGCUUAAACAGUACUCAAAGUAGAGCCUGAGAACACAUGAUGAUGAUGACAGCCAUUAUAGUAAGGAGACGGAAGUUUGGAGUGGUGUGCAAAUAUAAUUGUGGUGGCCAGUCUCCCUUCCCUUUAAAGAGUUCACAGGGAGUGAACCCUUUUCUUGAAUGACAAAUUGGUGAACUCCAGAGC
This is a long non-coding RNA of Hemicordylus capensis (graceful crag lizard), 532 nucleotides long. RefSeq lists it as uncharacterized. The transcript has 3 exons. The record is from RefSeq and is a predicted model, not a curated record. NCBI's taxonomy places the organism in Eukaryota, Metazoa, Chordata, Lepidosauria, Squamata, Cordylidae.